GGUGAAUCAUGUCGGACACA
Molecule: microRNA, 20 nt
Filed under: Sus scrofa (pig)
Lineage: Eukaryota; Metazoa; Chordata; Mammalia; Artiodactyla; Suidae
Description: ssc-miR-9826-5p
Source: miRBase by way of RNAcentral